Pelobates cultripes (western spadefoot toad) is the source of this 215-nucleotide non-coding RNA. NCBI's taxonomy places the organism in Eukaryota, Metazoa, Chordata, Amphibia, Anura, Pelobatidae. The record is from the annotation of a GenBank genome assembly.
GCUGCCCUGACCGCGUAGAAAACUGCCGGGGCCGCAUUGCAGGAACCCAUCAGGUGGCCCAUGCUCUUGGGGCCACCCGAUGGCAAUGGAUUUCCUGGGGCCCAGUCAGCGCUGCGGCUCUUUAAGAGCACGACCGGGCCCCAGUGAUGAUGUGAGAGCUGGGAGGAAGCCAACAGAGCGCCGCGCAGGAUGCGAGGAGAGAGUCAGAGGCGGAG